This 129-nucleotide small nucleolar RNA is filed under the name Chinchilla lanigera (long-tailed chinchilla). RNAcentral describes it as "Small nucleolar RNA SNORA11 (ENSCLAG00000019719.1)". It matches the Rfam family "Small nucleolar RNA SNORA11". Rfam says of the family: U107 (SNORA11) is a member of the H/ACA class of snoRNAs that guide the sites of modification of uridines to pseudouridines. This snoRNA was identified by RT-PCR from blood cells and its expression confirmed by Northern blot analysis. Lineage: Eukaryota; Metazoa; Chordata; Mammalia; Rodentia; Chinchillidae. The record is from Rfam by way of RNAcentral.
AGGGUGUGCUCAGAGCAGGUGGCCUGAAGAAUGGCUUCUCUGUUUACAACACACCCAAUAAGAAUUUAGGGUCAUUGUGGCAAGGGUCACAAAACUUGCAGCCUCCCUUUGAGCAAAUGUCCUACACAU